This 680-nucleotide non-coding RNA is filed under the name Cyclosa argenteoalba. Lineage: Eukaryota; Metazoa; Arthropoda; Arachnida; Araneae; Araneidae. The record is from RNAcentral.
AUGCUUAGUACAGCUUUUAAGUAUAUUUACUAAAAUGAAGUUCACUUAUUUUUCGAAAUUUUUAAUAUAUUGUAUCAUUUUUCAUGAGUAAGUUAUUGGUAAACAUAUUAACUAAUAUAGUGCCAGCAGUUGCGGUUAUACUAUAAAUAAAAUAUACUAUAUUUAUUUUUCUAUAAAAUUUUUUAUAAACCUAGGUUUUAAGUAAAAUUUUACUUUCUUUUAAAAAAAUUGUACCUGAAAAGAAAUUUUAAAUUUAAAAUAGGAUUAGAUACCCUCUUAUAUUUUUAUUUAUUAAGGUAGUAAAAUUAAACCUAUGUAGUUUGGCGGCAUUUAAUCAUUCUAGAGGAACCUGUCUUUUAAUCGACACCCCACGAUGAGUUUUACUUUUUUUAAAAUUUUAUAUACCUCCGUCAUAAGGGCUAAUAAUAAAUAUUUUACCCUAAAUAGAUAUCUAAAAAGUUAGGUAAAGGUGUAGACUAUAAAAGAGAUAAGAUGGGUUACAUUAAGAUUAACUUAAGGAAUUUUAAAUAAAUUAUUUAAGGAAAAAGGAUUUAUUAGUAAUUUAUUUAUAAUAGUAUUUUUAUAUGAAAUUGAUAAAAAAUGUGUACAUAUCGCCCGUCACCCUUACCUAAAGGUAAGGUAAGUCGUAACAUAGUUGGUGUUUUGGAAAAAGCAUCAGG